GCAUAAUAUAUAUAAUUAGGGGUGAACUUGUGAUGGCACAUGAAUGGAACUCAAACAAACAAUCAUAUGUAGACAAGACAUGUGUUUGUCUUUUAUUCCCAAGUUUGAACUAGUAUAGUUCGGGUUCUUACAUGAUAGUGCAUGUCACUUUAUUUUUUCACUGCUACAACGACCAAACCAUGGACUAAGAAAACGGUGUUUCAUAUAUCUAGUACUAGAGUUCUUCUCUUCUCAGUUGGUACCAAAGAUGCCAAAUGGCGCAAUGGUGGUCGAGCAAUGUGGAGGGAUGUAGACAUUGCACAUUGCAGGUAGCGUCUGUAGCGCUAGGUUCCUUAUUUCCGCGAACUGGGGCAGUUGUUGAGGUUGGACGGAGCCCUGAGCCUGUGGGUUUAGCUGAGAUGGCUGGAAGGAGACCUGGCUUGAUGGAUAUUGCUGCUGAGGCUGUUGGAAGGAGACCUGGCUCGACGGUUGUUGUCGUUGUUGUUGCAGUUGCUGCUGUUGUUGUUGUUGCAACUGUUGUUGUUGUUCUUGUUGUUGUUGUUGUUGUUGAUGCAUAAUAAUAGCAUGAGCAACAUUAUGGAUGGCUUGGCACCUCGACUGCUCAGGGAUCUGCAACAGUUGUUGACAACACAAUUGUUGCAAUAGCUGGUAAGUACUUUGUUGCAAAACUUGUGAGCUUGCAUGCGCUAUGUUGUGUUGUUGCAAGACAACAUCCCUGCAUGGAAUCAGUUGUUGUUGCAAAAUUUGUUGAAGGAUUUGUUGUUGUUGUUGUUGUUGUUGUUGUUGUUGUUGUUGUUGUUGUGCUUGUUGCUGCGAAAUUGGUUGUUGUGGUUGUAGAUACUGUGGUUGCUGUUGUGGAUAUGGUUGUUGUGGUGGAAAUGAUUGCGGCUGCGGAUAUGGUAGUUGUGGCGGAAAUGGUUGCGGCUGCGG
RNAcentral lists this long non-coding RNA (930 nucleotides) under Triticum aestivum (bread wheat). Its description in RNAcentral is "long non-coding RNA (TAES_LNC019332)". The record is from RNAcentral. Lineage: Eukaryota; Viridiplantae; Streptophyta; Magnoliopsida; Poales; Poaceae.